UGGCGAGUGACCGGCCUGGAGUCGGAGUUGGUAACGGCUGUUGAGCCCGGGCAGCGCGUGCUUGUUGCCAUAGGAACACCACCCACACCGAGAGGAGGGGCAGCAACCGGGUGGAAAUGCUAGAAAUAGCUUCAUCUCUUCUCCAGCCAUUCAACCUGCUGCAUUUUUUAGAUUCCUGUGCCAUUUAAGUGUCGCAGUUUACAACAUUUUGAACAUCGUCUCAUUCAGUGCUCAUAACACUGUAAGAUGAACAUCCUUACUUCACAGGCAAGAUGGGGACCUGAGAAGUUGCCAGAGUCCCCAGGCCAGAGUCCUGUAGCCAGUUGUAUUCACCAGCUGAUUCUAAGCUAACUUUAUCUGCCUUUUUUCAUUUUGCUAAGCCAACAGUUUAAUUUUAAUUUUUACUCUUUGAAUUUUCUGGAUGUUUUGCUAUACAUUCUGGCCAGUUAAAACUCACUUGGGGCUAAAAGUUAUGGGCAGGCUAGUCGGAAGCAAAUACCACCUGCCAAUAAAUAUAUAAAACUUAAGGCCAGGGAUUUGCUCAGUGGUGCCACCGCCUGCCUCGCAAACACAAGGUCCCGGGUUCGAUCCUUGGUACGAAAACAAAAACAAAAACCUUCAGCUUCAUUAAUAAUAAAAAUGCAAAUACAAGAUACUAUAUAGCACCUAUCAAAAUGGCCAAGACUUGUGUACAAUUAUCGUAUUCUCAUGAUAGGAAUAUAUAAAUACUUUUUAACCCAGAUACACUUUGAAUAAAUAUCUGACCCAUUUGUAAGGGCAUGAUUUUAAAAGUUUAGAAUCUUAAGAGUUCAACAGGGAACUGACAGCAGAUUUUGGUAGUGAUGACAGGAUUUUGUGUCGUCACUGGAAGUGAUUGUAGAGAAAUGGGUUUUGCAUGUGCUGCUAGGGAUGGAACCCAGUGCCUGACUCCUAUAGCACGUGCUCUACUAAUGGGCCAUCUCCCAGUCCCAAAGUAUAUCUGACUGGGGUAGUUAUUUUUUAAUUGGUAGCUUGUCAAUUCCAUGAUCAUUUUUCUAUUCUCAGCAACACAACUCAAUUGAUGAUGUGGUAUUACCUCAGUGACAAGAGCCUUUCCAAGUUUUUCUCCUACCUCCUCAUGCUUUCAGUCUGUUUUGCGGGUGUCUCCCAUUCAGUUUGUAGUAGAAAUGCUCUGAGCCUCUUCUCCAUCUAUACCGUCCUUUACAAAUAUAUGCACACCCACAAAUACCAAACUUGUAUUUCAGGAUCCAAACUCUGGACUUUCAUAUCCAAACUCUGGACUUUCAUAUCCAGCUGACCACUUGAAGUUUCCCAUUAAUGCUUAAGCCUUUCAGGGUUUUUUUUUGAUACCGGGAAUCAAACUCAGGACCUUGUGCUUACAAGCCAGGCAUGGUGCCACUGGGCUAAAUCUCCAGCCUCGUUUCCAUCUUUUUAUUUUUAACAGGGUCUCACUAUGUAGUUCCAGCUGGCCUUGAACUCACUAGAGAGCCCAGGCUGGCCGCGAGCUCUGGUGAUGGACCUGCUUCAACCUCCUGAGUGCUUGAUCACAGGCGUGGGCCACCACACUAACCCUAGCCUCUUAGUUUUGAAAUGACUAAAAGUAGAAUUCCAGACUCUUCUCCUUUCACAAACCUAAGCCAUGAUCUCUUGGCAGCCUUCAAAGCAACUGACCACCACAUUUGGAACACAUUUUUCUCUUGAUUUAUGGAACUCAAAGCUCUCCAAUUUUCCUUGUGUUUCUUGAUCCUCUUCUGUUUUUUAAAUGUGGGAGUCACUCAAGACACCCAGCCCUCUUAUCUAAUAUGUCUUCCAAGAUGAUUUUACCCAAGCCCAUAGCAUGUAUGUUCAGAUUAGUCCUUCCAACAGAUAAUCUGUUGCAAAUUCCGAAAUAUAUGUAUCACUGUUCUGAGUACCCAAACAAAACAAAAUCAUGCUCCAAGGAUGUGAAGCAACCUGCAUUCUCAUGUGCUGGAAGAAUGUAUUGGAACAAGCACUUUGGAAAUUUGUAAUCGAACAUAAUACAUAACUUAUGACUAAGAAUUUUUUUUUUUUGGUACCAGGGAUUGAACUCAGGACCUUGUGAUUGCCAGACAGGCAGCGGCACCACUGAGCCCAGCCCCUAAGAAAUUUUGAGAUAUAGUUCAGCAGAGACACAUCAUUAGUACAAGGGUGUCAUUACAUUCCCCAGGCUGGCCUCUAAUUCAUGGACUCAAGUGAUGCUCCUGCCUCAGACGUCUUCUCAAGUAGCUGGGCCUACAGAUGUGCCACUGUGCCCAGUUUUUCAAGAUUUUUUUCCCCCACAAUGCUGAAGAUCAAACUGAGGGCCUCCCACAUGCUAGGCAAGUCCUCUACCAUUAACUACACCCUUAUCCCCUGAUCAUGUUUUUAGUAAGUUAUUAUCUUAUUAAAAUAAUAGUAACAAUAA
Non-coding RNA from Heterocephalus glaber (naked mole-rat), 2425 nucleotides. Lineage: Eukaryota; Metazoa; Chordata; Mammalia; Rodentia; Bathyergidae. The record is from RefSeq and is a predicted model, not a curated record.